UGGGGAAUAUUGGACAAUGGGGGCAACCCUGAUCCAGCAAUGCCGCGUGUGUGAAGAAGGUUUUCGGAUUGUAAAGCACUUUCGACGGGGACGAUGAUGACGGUACCCGUAGAAGAAGCCCCGGCUAACUUCGUGCCAGCAGCCGCGGUAAUACGAAGGGGGCUAGCGUUGCUCGGAAUGACUGGGCGUAAAGGGCGUGUAGGGCGGUUUGUACAGUCAGAUGUGAAAA
RNAcentral lists this ribosomal RNA (229 nucleotides) under uncultured bacterium. RNAcentral's name for it is "partial 16S ribosomal RNA". It matches the Rfam family "Bacterial small subunit ribosomal RNA", at positions 355 to 600 of the family's 1533-position model. The record is from RNAcentral.